ACAGCAGCAGCCGCGGGAAAACGGAGGGGGCUAGCGUUGUUCGGAAUUACUGGGCGUAAAGCGCACGUAGGCGGCUUGGUAAGUUAGAUGUGAAAGCCCUGGGCUCAACCUAGGAAUUGCAUUUGAUACUGUUUGGCUUGAGUUCGGGAGAGGUGAGUGGAAUUCCCAGUGUAGAGGUGAAAUUCGUAGAUAUUGGGAAGAACACCAGUGGCGAAGGCGGCUCACUGGACCGACACUGACGCUGAGGCGCGAAAGCGUGGGGAGCAAACAGGAUUAGAUACCCGCGUAGUCCCUGUCUCUUAUAC
RNAcentral lists this ribosomal RNA (305 nucleotides) under uncultured bacterium. RNAcentral's name for it is "partial 16S ribosomal RNA". It matches the Rfam family "Bacterial small subunit ribosomal RNA", at positions 505 to 807 of the family's 1533-position model. The record is from RNAcentral.